GAAUAUUGCACAAUGGAGGAAACUCUGAUGCAGCGACGCCGCGUGAGCGAUGAAGGCCUUCGGGUUGUAAAGCUCUGUGAUAUGGGAAGAUAAUGACGGUACCAUAUCAGAAAGGACCGGCUAACUUCGUGCCAGCAGCCGCGGUAAUACGAGGGGUCCAAGCGUUGUUCGGAAUUACUGGGCGUAAAGCGGGUGUAGGUGGCCAUGAAAGUCGGAUGUGAAAGCCCAGGGCUCAACCCUGGAAGUGCAUCCGAUACUUCAUGGCUUGAGUACUAGAGAGGGAAGUGGAAUUCCUGGUGUAGCGGUGAAAUGCGUAGAUAUCAGGAGGAACAUCGGUGGCGAAGGCGGCUUCCUGGCUAUGUACUGACACUCAGACCCGAAAGCGUGGGUAGCAAACAGG
RNAcentral lists this ribosomal RNA (400 nucleotides) under uncultured bacterium. RNAcentral's name for it is "bacterial SSU rRNA". It matches the Rfam family "Bacterial small subunit ribosomal RNA", at positions 359 to 776 of the family's 1533-position model. The record is from RNAcentral.